Molecule: long non-coding RNA, 498 nt
Organism: Musca domestica (house fly)
Lineage: Eukaryota; Metazoa; Arthropoda; Insecta; Diptera; Muscidae
Exons: 2
Source: RefSeq, a predicted model, not a curated record
UUGAAUGGGGUUAUAUUAAUUCAGCACUCAGCAGUCUGUCUUAAAACUAGAUUUGUAAAUUCUAAAUUAUAUAUGUAUAUCAUUUUGCAAUUAAAUGAAAUCUUUAGCAACUGAAAUUAAACCUUUUGAAACGGGAAUUAAACCUUUUGCAAGAAUGCUCUAUAUACAUAAGAGAUCUGCUGUAAAAAUUACACAAGCUGAAAUGCGGGAUUCUUUACUAGAAGGUUCAAUUUCAAAUUCAAAAAUAUUCAUUUCAAUUACAAAGGGUUUGAUUCCAAUUUGCAAAUGCUUUAACGCCGGAAAUCAGAGCUAGUUCCCGGUUUCAUAUCCUGAUGCUAUGCAUCGAUAUAAUUAAUAUUGUCUUUAAUUGCUUUUUAUUAAUUACAUUGUUUUCCAUAAUGUUUAUUCGCUGUAAUGUAAUUUUCACUGCAAUAUAGUACUGAACACACAACAUCUUGAAACCAGCCAACACGAAAUAAUCAUUACUUCAUUCCCUAA